AUAUGUGGGAAUUAUGGGAGCUAUAAUUUGAGAUUUGGGUGGGGACACAGCCAAACCAUAUCACAGGCCACUGUUUUUCUUAGGUAGAUGUUAUUAUUCCCAUUUAGCAGAUAAGAAAAUAAGGCACAGACAAGUUUAGCCCCCUUGCCGAAGUACAUGGCAGAGCUGCCAGGAAAUGAUAUAUUGAGCUGGGCCCAUAGUGUUUGCUUUUACUUUUUUAGCGCAUUUAAGCCAGUGCUAGACUGGGUCGGCUUUGCUUGGCCAGGAUUUGGGACAGCAGAUUUUGUGAACAGAAAUAGCUGCUGAUUUUUUUUUCUUCCUUAUUACAGAAAAAGGUUUUCCCUCAAGUGGUUGAUGGUGCUUUCUUUCCUAAUGAGCCUCUAGAUCUAUUGUCUCAGAAAGCAUUUAAAGCAAUUCCUUCCAUCAUCGGAGUCAAUAGCCACGAGUGUGGCUUCCCGCUGCCUAUGGUAAGAAUUCCAACUGUCCAUGCUGCCACUCCCUCAAACUGAUGCAGCUCUUGGCUUCAACAGCUGGGCAUUUCCACAGAUGACAUCAGCUGUUGUAAGUGCUGGAGCCCACCAGCCAAGCACACAGUGAUCACCUUUCCUCUCUCUGAAAAAGGGGCAAUGUUUUGAAGUGGGACUAGCGAUUUUUGUCCUCAUGUUGCAGAUGAGGCCACUGAAUCACAGCUCGUGGCUUAAAAGGAGGCUCCUUAGAUCCUCAGUGGCUCCAACAAUCCCUUGCCUCCGUCUGAUACAAAGCAUCCUGGUGAGUAGCUUGGGAGGCUGCAGUACUCUAGAGACACAUGCACUUAACAGACAGCCCUGGGUAACACUCAGCGGGAGCAGCCAAGGGCACUCAGUCAUUCAACAGACCUUUACUAAGCAUAGGUGUAUUAAUCCACUCCUGCACUGCUAUUAAGAAACACUGGAGACUGGGUAAUUUAUAAAGAAAAGAGGCUUAAUUGGCUCAUAGUGCUGCAGGCUGUACAG
Molecule: non-coding RNA, 992 nt
Organism: Macaca mulatta (Rhesus monkey)
Lineage: Eukaryota; Metazoa; Chordata; Mammalia; Primates; Cercopithecidae
Source: RefSeq, a predicted model, not a curated record